AAACGACUCUCGGCAACGGAUAUCCCGGCUCUCGCAUCGACGAAGAACGUAGCGAAAUGCGAUACUUGGUGUGAAUUGCAGAAUCCCGUGAACCAUCGAGUUUUUGAACGCAAGUUGCGCCCGAUGCCAUUAGGCUGAGGGCACGUCUGCCUGGGUGUCACGU
Molecule: ribosomal RNA, 163 nt
Filed under: Bupleurum sikangense
Lineage: Eukaryota; Viridiplantae; Streptophyta; Magnoliopsida; Apiales; Apiaceae
Description: 5.8S ribosomal RNA
Rfam family: 5.8S ribosomal RNA
About the family: 5.8S ribosomal RNA (5.8S rRNA) is a component of the large subunit of the eukaryotic ribosome.
Source: RNAcentral